RNAcentral lists this long non-coding RNA (3498 nucleotides) under Octopus vulgaris (common octopus). Lineage: Eukaryota; Metazoa; Mollusca; Cephalopoda; Octopoda; Octopodidae. The record is from RNAcentral.
AAAUUUCCUGAUUCCACGAGGGAUCAUGCUGAAAAUACAAAUCCUUCUUCUGCAAGAACCUGGUAUGCUAUCAUUUUUUUUUCCUAUUUUAGUAAUCUAGUUAAUAUGUCAUUUGAUGAAACAUUCUUUAUACCUCUUAUUUAUUUUCUUCUUCUUCUUCUUCUUCUUCUUCUUCUUCUUCUUCUUCUUCUUCUUCUUCUUCUUCUUCCUCCUUCCCCUCCUCCUUCUUUCUUCUUCUCCUCCUUCUUUCUUCUUCUUCUUCUUCUUCUUUCUUCUUCUUCUUCUUUUCUUCUUCCUCUUCUUCUUCUUCUCCUUCUUCUUCUUCUUCUUCUUCUUCUUCUUCUUCUUCUUCUUCUUCUUCUUCUUCUCCUUCUUCUUCUUCUUCUUCUUCUUCUUCUUCUUCUUCUUCUUCUUCUUCUUCUCCUUCUUCUUCUUCUUCUUCUUCUUCUUCUUCUUCUUCUUCUUCUCCUUCUUCUUCUUCUUCUUCUUCUUCUUCUCCUUCUUCUUCUUCUUCUUCUUCUCCUUCUUCUUCUUCUUCUUCUUCUUCUUCUUCUUCUUCUUCUUCUUUUCUUCUUCUUCUCUUUCUUCUUCUUCUUCUUCUUCUUCUUCUUCUUCUUCUUCUUCUUCUUCUUCUUCUUCUUCUUCUUCUUCUUCUUCUUCUUCUUCUUCUUCUUCUUCUUCUUCUUCUUCUUCUUCUUCUUCUUCUUCUUCUCCUCCUCCUCCUCCUCCUCCCCCUUCCUCCUCCUCCUCCUUCUUCCUUGUCGUCAUCAUCAUUAUUAUUAAGGUGGUGAGCUGGCAGAAUGAUUAGUGGUAUUUUGCGCUUGUCCUUAUGUUCUCGGUUCAAAUUCUGCCGAGGUCGACUUUACCUUUCAUCCUUUUGGAGUUGAUAAAUUAAGUACCAGUGAAACACUGGGGUCAAUGUAAUCGACUAGUUCCCUCCAACCCCCACCCGGAAUUGCCGGUCUUGUGCCAAAAUUUGAAACCAUUAUUAUUAUUAUUAUUAUCAUUAAUAUUAUUAUUAUUAUUAUUAUUAUUAAUAUUAUUAUUAUUAUUAAUAUUAUCAUCAUCAUUAUUAUUAUUAUUAUUAUUAUUAUUAUUAUUAUUAUUAUUAUUAUUAUUAAUAAUAAUAAUAAUAAUAAUAAUUAAUAAUAAUAAUAAUAAUAAUAAGGUGGCGGGCUGGCAGAAUCGUUAGACAGAAUAGUUAGACCACUGGCCGAAAUGCUUAGCAGUAUUUCAUCCGUUGCUAUGUUCUGAGUUCAAACUCUGCCGAGGUCGACUUUGCCUUUCAUCCUUUCGAGGUCGAUAAAUUAAGUACCGGUUGCAUAAUGAGGUUGAUCUAAUCGACUAGCCCACUCCCCCAAAAUUUCAGGCCUUGUGCCUAUAGUAGAAAGGAUUAUUAUUAUUAUUAUUAAUAUUAUUAUUAUUAUUAUUUUUAUUAUUUUGAUUCAGUAGUAUAUCUUUUAUAGCGUGCUUUCACUUCACUACCAAGCGCAGCUCUGUGUGCCUUGGGUAUGUGCUGUGAUUUGUUGUGAUGCUCUGAUGGUUAUUGUAUGGAAAGUGUUCUGCGUAGGAUGUGUGCAGUGCCUAGUAGUGCAAUUUUCUGUAUGUUAUAUGUGUUUGUAAGUCCUGGUGUUUUUGUUAUGUAUUUGUCUGAAUAUUUUUUUUUAAUAAUAAUAAUAAUUAUUAUUAUUAUUAUUAUUAUUAUUAUUAUUAUUAUUAUUAUUAUGUGAUGAAAACUCAUAGCUUAUUUUGCUGGGUAUGAUGGAAAGAGUUAGCUGUCCACAGCCAGCAGACUAAGGUGACAAUUGUUUACCGGUCAUGCUUCAAGAACCCUGCAAAAAAUUAUUGCAGUUCCAAGCAAUGCUGAUUUUUGUAGGUGUUCUACCUUCACACUUGCACCAAUCUUUUUCAACCAUGUUGGUACUUGAGUGUUGAUACUUCCAAGUGCACCAAUUACUAUUGGUAUCACGUCUACCCUCCUCAUUGACCACAACCUUUGUAUUUCCCAUUUCAAAUAGUCAAAGUUGGUAAUUUUUUUCUUCUUCUUUCACAUUGAUCCUGUUGUCACAUGUUCUUUCUUUUUUAUUCCCCACAACAAUGUCUGGUCAGGUGAUCCCACCGGAUCAUUGUAUCUCACAGGAUUUUGCAAUUCUCAUUUUCGGUGACCCCUUCUGGGGUUUGCUGAUAUUAUCAUUAUUUAUGGUUUCCUCUCAUUAAAACUAUAUUUCAGCUGCCUUAGUACCAGGCAUCCUCUAGAGGCCAAGAGUAGCAAGGGUACUUUUGUUUUGCUAUGCAUGCUAAAACUAACACCACAUUUAUUCCAUUUUAGAUGAAGAGUGCUUUCCCUAGUACAUGGGCUGUACCCAUCAAGGUUAUCAUUUGUAGUUCACGGAGAUUGCAGUUACCAGGGAGUUGCUUAAUAUACUUCUCAGCUCCCUUCUUUAUCAUUCCCAACACACUAAUUACUACUGGUAAUAUUGUAGUACUAAGCUUCCACAUUUUUGUGAUAUCAAUUUGCAGAUCUUUAUAGUGAGAUAGCUUUUCGUAUUCUUUUCUUGAGACAUAUUUAUUAACAGAUGAGUUCCUCUGUUGUAGUCAUUGAUCACAAUGUCUGUUUGUAUUGAGAAGUUCCAAAGGAUGGUGACACCCUCGCCAUUUACAAUAUCCUCAUUACUACUACUACUACUACUACUACUACUACUACUACUACUACUAAGCUCUGCAGCUGGCCAGCUCCUGUCAAACCAUCCAACCCAUGCCUGCAUGGAGAAUAGAUACUCUUUUACUCUUUUACUUGUUUCAGUCAUUUGACUGUGGCCAUGCUUGAGCACCGCCUUUAGUCGAGCAAAUCAACCCCAGGACUUAUUCUUUGUAAGCCUAGUACUUAUUAUAUCAGUCUCUUUUGCUGAACUGCUAAGUUAUGGGGACGUAAACACACCAGCAUCGGUUGUCAAGUGAUGUUGGGGGGGCAAACACAGACACACACAUACAUAUAUACGACGGGCUUCUUUCAGUUUCCGUCAACCAAAUCCACUCACAAGGCUUUGGUCGGCCUGAGGCUAUAGUAGAAGACACUUGCCCAAGGUGCCAUGCAGUGGGACUGAACCCGAAACCAUAUGGUUUGUAAGCAAGCUACUUACCACACAGCUACUCCUACGCCUAUGUUAAAUAAUGAUGAUGACAAUGACGUUGACGAUGACUAUGAUGAUGAUGAGAGGAGGAGGAGUUUGUAAUCUUUCUUCAAGUGUUUUUAAAUUUCAAAGGUAAUUUAUUUUAAGUGAAUAAAUGUUACCUGUAUUUAUCUUUACAGUUAAACCUAAAUCAAAGAUAUGAGAAAAAAAAGAGAGAGUUAAACCUGAAUACUUGAGAACCGGAAUUGAAUCCAUUUGUGACAACCACCAGAAAUUAUGAGUUGUGUAUCGUGAGUCAACAGAGAAGGCAAUACAUGGUCGUCAUUCAAGCUGAUAGAAAUAGUCCUCAAAUCUCCCUCAAAUUACG